CGCGGCCUAUCAGCUUGUUGGUGGGGUAAUGGCCUACCAAGGCGACGACGGGUAGCCGACCUGAGAGGGUGACCGGCCACACUGGGACUGAGACACGGCCCAGACUCCUACGGGAGGCAGCAGUGGGGAAUAUUGCACAAUGGGCGAAAGCCUGAUGCAGCGACGCCGCGUGAGGGACGACGGCCUUCGGGUUGUAAACCUCUUUCAGCAGGGACGAAGCGCAAGUGACGGUACCUGCAGAAGAAGCACCGGCUAACUACGUGCCAGCAGCCGCGGUAAUACGUAGGGUGCAAGCGUUGUCCGGAAUUACUGGGCGUAAAGAGUUCGUAGGCGGUUUGUCACGUCGUUUGUGAAAACUCACAGCUCAACUGUGAGCCUGCAGGCGAUACGGGCAGACUUGAGUACUGCAGGGGAGACUGGAAUUCCUGGUGUAGCGGUGAAAUGCGCAGAUAUCAGGAGGAACACCGGUGGCGAAGGCGGGUCUCUGGGCAGUAACUGACGCUGAGGAACGAAAGCGUGGGUAGCGAACAGGAUUAGAUACCCUGGUAGUCCACGCCGUAAACGGUGGGCGCUAGGUGUGGGUUCCUUCCACGGAAUCCGUGCCGUAGCUAACGCAUUAAGCGCCCCGC
RNAcentral lists this ribosomal RNA (629 nucleotides) under uncultured bacterium. Its description in RNAcentral is "bacterial SSU rRNA". It matches the Rfam family "Bacterial small subunit ribosomal RNA", at positions 232 to 872 of the family's 1533-position model. The record is from RNAcentral.